Molecule: long non-coding RNA, 85 nt
Organism: Maniola jurtina (meadow brown)
Lineage: Eukaryota; Metazoa; Arthropoda; Insecta; Lepidoptera; Nymphalidae
Exons: 3
Source: RefSeq, a predicted model, not a curated record
GUAGCAAAGAUUGCAUUUAAGGGGAGCCACGAUCCUCAAAAUUGAGGGAACGACGCAGGAAGAAGAGGUAAUGAUUGAGUCAUCA